RNAcentral lists this long non-coding RNA (259 nucleotides) under Gossypium barbadense (sea-island cotton). RNAcentral describes it as "long non-coding RNA (GBAR_LNC019999)". Lineage: Eukaryota; Viridiplantae; Streptophyta; Magnoliopsida; Malvales; Malvaceae. The record is from RNAcentral.
AAUUUUAAAGCCCAUUUGGAGGUCGAAUAAGGGACUUGAAAAUAGGGUCCGUGGGUAUCAUAUAGGCCCAGAAAAUGUAAGUUUUAGUUCGUAUAUACACAAGGGUAAACUUAGAAAAAUAUGUUAAGCAAGUUUGGUUAUGUAAAAACUAUAUGCUAUGUUAUGAUCUCUUAAGAAAAUAUAUGAGUAUGCAUGUCGUAGGACUUAUGAUAUAAGUAUGUGUUUAAUAUUUAUGAUUAUGAUUAUGCUUAUGUUUUGG